Molecule: ribosomal RNA, 484 nt
Filed under: uncultured bacterium
Lineage: Bacteria
Description: partial 16S ribosomal RNA
Rfam family: Bacterial small subunit ribosomal RNA
Source: RNAcentral
AUUGAACGCUGGCGGCAGGCCUAACACAUGCAAGUCGAGCGGAUGAAGGGAGCUUGCUCCUGGAUUCAGCGGCGGACGGGUGAGUAAUGCCUAGGAAUCUGCCUGGUAGUGGGGGAUAACGUCCGGAAACGGGCGCUAAUACCGCAUACGUCCUGAGGGAGAAAGUGGGGGAUCUUCGGACCUCACGCUAUCAGAUGAGCCUAGGUCGGAAUAGCUAGUUGGUGGGGUAAAGGCCUACCAAGGCGACGAUCCGUAACUGGUCUGAGAGGAUGAUCAGUCACACUGGAACUGAGACACGGUCCAGACUCCUACGGGAGGCAGCAGUGGGGAAUAUUGGACAAUGGGCGAAAGCCUGAUCCAGCCAUGCCGCGGGUGUGAAGAAGGUCUUCGGAUUGUAAAGCACUUUAAGUUGGGAGGAAGGGCAGUAAGUUAAUACCUUGCUGUUUUGACGUUACCAACAGAAUAAGCACCGGCUAACUUCGUG